UUAACACAUGCAAGUCGAACGAGAAUCACCGGAAGGAGUUUUCGGACAACGGAAGGUGAGGACAGUGGCGGACGGGUGAGUAACGCGUGAGGAACCUGCCUUUCAGAGGGGGACAACAGUUGGAAACGACUGCUAAUACCGCAUAACGCAUAGGUAUCGCAUGGUACUUAUGCCAAAGAUUUAUCGCUGAAAGAUGGCCUCGCGUCUGAUUAGCUGGUUGGUGAGGUAACGGCCCACCAAGGCGACGAUCAGUAGCCGGACUGAGAGGUUGACCGGCCACAUUGGGACUGAGAUACGGCCCAGACUCCUACGGGAGGCAGCAGUGGGGAAUAUUGGGCAAUGGGCGCAAGCCUGACCCAGCAACGCCGCGUGAAGGAAGAAGGCUUUCGGGUUGUAAACUUCUUUUGGCAGGGAAGAGGAGAAGACGGUACCUGCCGAAUAAGCCACGGCUAACUACGUGCCAGCAGCCGCGGUAAUACGUAGGUGGCAAGCGUUGUCCGGAUUUACUGGGU
RNAcentral lists this ribosomal RNA (512 nucleotides) under uncultured rumen bacterium. RNAcentral's name for it is "bacterial SSU rRNA". It matches the Rfam family "Bacterial small subunit ribosomal RNA", at positions 48 to 559 of the family's 1533-position model. The record is from RNAcentral.